GUUCAGAUGGAGACUGUUCCACCAACACCCUGCCUUAUUGUGUGAGGGUCCUCCUGCUUUGCUGCUGAGGCAUUUAUGUUGAGCAUCGACAAAGAGGUUGUCAACAACCACAUCACUUCCUUCACAUCUGCUAUCUGCCUGAUGUUUGGCAGUUACUACUGCUUCAACAUACACUACACAGUAGAACUACGGUCUACACUGGAGUUCCUCCAACGGUGUUUCUUUUCAAUAAAUCCUGAGAAAGGCACCAAAGUCGAGUGGAAUAAGAAGAAGAAAGUGUUCUCAGUUAAUCCCAGGGUCCUCACUCUGAUCUCAGACCUUGCUGACCAUGAGUGGACCUACCAGUGAUGGUGAAGGAUGAUAUUAUAAAAGGUACACUGCAUGUUAUAUACACUGCGGAUAUUUUGUUGUUAGAGUUAAAUUUCUGAAAGUUUUACAGAAUGUCUAGUUUCACAAGGUAAACUGUCUGGUACAGUUUGUACAUGUUCGACUUUACUGCACUGGUUUUUUA
This is a long non-coding RNA of Thalassophryne amazonica, 511 nucleotides long. RefSeq lists it as uncharacterized. The record is from RefSeq and is a predicted model, not a curated record. Lineage: Eukaryota; Metazoa; Chordata; Actinopteri; Batrachoidiformes; Batrachoididae. The transcript is spliced from 3 exons.